UGAGCGGGCUGAAUGGUCGCGCCGCUGACUUUUGUCGGGGUGAGGAAAGUCCGGGCUUCACAGGGCAGGAUGCCAGAUAACGUCUGGCGGGAGCGAUCCCAGGACCAGUGCAACAGAAAUAUACCGCCCGAAAGGGUAAGGGUGAAAUGGCAGUGUAAGAGACUACCGCCUUGCUGGUAACAGGAAGGGCACAUGUAAACUCCAUCCGAAGCAAGACCAAACAGGAAGCUGUGAGGCGGCCCGCUGAGCUUCCGGGUAGGUCGCGUAGAACUUGCCGGUGACGGCAAGACAAGAUAGAUGACCAUUUUCAACAGAACCCGGCUUACGGGCCCGCUCAUAAA
This 341-nucleotide RNase P RNA is filed under the name Lachnospiraceae bacterium. RNAcentral describes it as "RNase P RNA component class A". It matches the Rfam family "Bacterial RNase P class A". From Rfam's summary of the family: Ribonuclease P (RNase P) is a ubiquitous endoribonuclease, found in archaea, bacteria and eukarya as well as chloroplasts and mitochondria. Its best characterised activity is the generation of mature 5'-ends of tRNAs by cleaving the 5'-leader elements of precursor-tRNAs. The record is from RNAcentral. Lineage: Bacteria; Bacillati; Bacillota; Clostridia; Lachnospirales; Lachnospiraceae.